RNAcentral lists this ribosomal RNA (199 nucleotides) under uncultured bacterium. Its description in RNAcentral is "partial 16S ribosomal RNA". It matches the Rfam family "Bacterial small subunit ribosomal RNA", at positions 524 to 720 of the family's 1533-position model. The record is from RNAcentral.
UACGGAGGGUGCAAGCGUUAUCCGGAAUCACUGGGUUUAAAGGGUGCGUAGGCGGCGCUAUAAGUCAGAGGUGAAAGGCCACCGCUUAACGGUGGGACUGCCUUUGAUACUGUAGUGCUUGAAUCAGGCUGAGGUCGGCGGAAUGUGACAUGUAGCGGUGAAAUGCGUUAGAAUAUGUCAUAGAACACCAAUUGCGAAA